AUGUCUGUAGAAGGAAGGGAAAGGAGGUAACGAAUACGGAAACGUAUCAAUUACGAGCGCUGUUGGUUGGAAAGCAGGCCGGGAAAUGGACGGGAGUCGUACCUUCACGGUAUUCGUACAGAUUCACCUCGUGGCCCUUCUUGCCCAGGUGAAGCGCCAACAGUGAGCCAACCUAUGGAAAGGGGAGGGUGAAAGAAUACAAAUGAAUAUUCGGUCCAGGAUUUAUGGAAAUCCAUCACAGUGAGCCUCGUGUUGAAAUGCUCGAUUUGGUCAUGAAGACCACAAACCGGAGAAGGGAGACCAUACAACGCUCACGCUUCGAAGUAUUAACCGCGGUCAGUGCAAAAAAAAACGGAAAGCAGGGAACAGGAAUAACAUUAUGUUGUGAAAUAGAUGAGAUUGCUUCCAGAACGAUCAACAACAGCCGAAAAAACAAUCAGUAUUAUUGAUAAGACCGGAAGAUAGAUGGUAAAAAAUGCAUAAGGAAGUAAUUAAAAUGUCUGAUUUACGUUCGAGAUUUAAUGAGGGGCGAAAGUACAAGUGGCUACACACGCAGGAUUAACAUACACACGCGCGCGCCCAACAAAUCACCCUUCACUGCUUGAUCACUCUCUUUUGGUUAGAACCGGGGCAACCCAACUUACCAAAC
Anopheles arabiensis is the source of this 649-nucleotide long non-coding RNA. RefSeq lists it as uncharacterized. Lineage: Eukaryota; Metazoa; Arthropoda; Insecta; Diptera; Culicidae. The record is from RefSeq and is a predicted model, not a curated record. The transcript is spliced from 3 exons.